This is a long non-coding RNA of Bos indicus x Bos taurus (hybrid cattle), 2748 nucleotides long. The record is from Ensembl. NCBI's taxonomy places the organism in Eukaryota, Metazoa, Chordata, Mammalia, Artiodactyla, Bovidae.
GGGGUUUCCUUUUCACCUCAGACUUGAAGCAGGUGCGUCUCUAUCUGUGCCUUAAUUUAUAGAACUGGGGGUUCUGUUCCAAGCAGCUGGGUCAUUUUCCAGCUUCUCCUUGACUGAGGCCCUCGGGAAUCUGUUUUCUCACUGUUCUGGCUCUUCCUCAUUGGCUCCUCUGUCUUGGUCUUUCUGGCCUCAGGCAGAAUUCUCUUUAAAGGAUGGUGAGCAUACAUGUGACACAAGGUCCCCAGCGGCUGCCUUGGUGGUGGGAGGUACUCAGUGCCAAGAUCUUUCCCUCAGUCCUCGGUGGAGCCAAGAUCCAUCCCUCUGUGAUGGGAUCCUCACAUCACCCUCCCCACCUGUUCUCCAACAGGAGGCUGACCCAAUGGACGCAUCCACAGGCUCCUCAGCAGAUAGGAAGAGAGCUCCCCCUGCCCUCCCACCUGCACCUCGGGUGCCUCCAGAUCCACCAACAUCAGGCAACCCUGUGGACUAUAGCCCACCAGGCUCCUCUGUCCGUGGGAUUCUCCAGGCAAGAAUACUGGAGUGAGUUACCAUUUCCUUCUCCAGGGGAUCUUCCCAGUCCAGGGGUUGAACCCAUGUCUCCUGCAUUGGCAGGCAGAGUCUUUACUCUGAGCCACUGGAGAAGCCCUUACCCCUUCUACAUGACGGUGGAUCCAAAGUUGUGGGGCCUGGAACUGAUGCGUUUGUGUUGCCCCUUUCAGAAAAAGAACUCAUUAUUAUGACUAAACACGCCUGGGCCGCUCCAGACCACCAGGCACAGGAAAGGGGACAAGGGAGACUUGAAAUCAGAAUGGGAAGAGACAUGCAUUACCUACUGUCCGUUAAAAUGUGUUCCUUCAAAAAAAAAAAAAAAUGUGUUCCUUCUACAAAUGUCCCAAACAAUGUUAUACCAUGAGCCUUGCCGGGGGCCUGGGAAGGGAGGAGCCUGUGCAAGUGGCCAGCAUGAAGUCCUAUGGACAUCGCUGUGGCCGUGGGGGUCGGGAGGGGUCCCUUGGCUCUGAGGCCCUGUUACCCCACCCCUUCCAGUCCCCAUACCCAGAUCUUAGUACAGAGACACUUCGUGGACAAACACACCUCCUGGUGUCAUCACAAUCAGUUUAUAUUUUCUAGUUUUUCGACAAUAGCAGAUAUUUACAUUUUUUUCCAAAUAAGAAUCCUUACCCCCAGAGGAAAAAUUGUUUGGCGGUCACCGAAGCCCAUGGCAAUCAGUACCACACGAAGGAUGGAACCGAGGAGGAAAAGACUGGAAGGAAAUACACUGAAACUCUACAGGGAGCUUUGUUUGGAUGGUGGCGCCCACGUUGGAAAAAGCCAACAUCUGCAAGUCUCCCCAGACAAUGCUCUCCAGCCUCUCUCUGCCUGUGUCACAUGGCGCUCCAUUCCCAAGCAGAACAAGGGCUCCUGGCCAGAGGUUUACAAGUGUCCUCUCUGCUUCCUCUUGCUGGAUUGGUUUGCUCAAGAAACAUGGGGCAGGAGACAGAGAUGAAGGGUCAGGUCAGGGACCUCCACAGACGGUACCAUACCCUCCGGGAGGAGUAACUAGGGAGAUGAUGAAGAAUCUUCCUCUCUUGGUCUUGGUCUUGCUUGUUGUUCAGUGGCUCAGUCGUGUCUGACUCUUUGCGACCUCAUGGACUGCAGCACGCCAGGCACCUCCAUCCUACCUUAUCUCCCAGAGCUUGCUCAAACUCAUGUCCAUUGAGUUGAUGAUGCCAUCCAACCAUCUCAUCCUCUGCUGCCCCCUUCUCCUCCUGCCUUCAAUCUUUCCCAGCAUCAGUGUCUUUUCCAAUGAGUUGGCUCUUCGCAUCAGGUGGCCAAAGUAUUGGAGCUUCAUCUUCAGUAUCAUUACUUUCAAUGAAUAUUCAGAGUUGGUUUCCUUUAGGAUGGACUGGUUUGAUCUCCUUGUAGUCCAAAGGACCCUCAAGAGUCUUCCCCAGCACCACAGUUUGACAGCAUCGAUUCUUUGAUCCUGCUUACAGGAAGAAAAAAUACUCCCCAUACUUCAUAAUAACAGGCCAGACUUAUGUGAGUUUGGGGGAUGAUUUUGUCUCACUUUUGUGGUCCAGAAGUUAAUUUGAACCACAAAAGUUAGUUUGAAGUAGACCUUCAUGCAAGAGCCAGACAGAAGUGAAUACAAAUAUCUCUGGAAGAGGUGCUUUCAACCCAGGCCUCAGAGAGUUCCCUGAGACAAAGAUCACUGAUCAUGAGCUCACAAACAAACUCAGAAGUGAAAUCACAGAAUACAUGAGCAGACAAGGCACGAGGAAAGCUGAAUGAGCAUAGACAACAAACAGCAAAUCCAAACCUACUGACACAGUAAUGGACUUGUUGGGGAGAAACGAGAAAAUAGGAAUGUAGCCCUUUUGCUGCCUCACAUCUAGGAUCAUCCUCACCAUCUUUCUAAUUCCAUAUACAUGCCUUCAUAUGCAGAAUCAGUGUUUCUCUUUCUGAUUUACUUCACUCUGUGUAAUAGGCUCCAGUUUCAUCCACCUCAUUAGAACUGACUCAAAUGUGUCCUUUUUCUAGCUGAGUAAUAUUCCAUUGGGUACAUGUACCACAACUUCCCUAUCCAUUCAUCUUUCAAUGGACAUAUCUAGGCUGCUCAGGAUGGGGGGACACAUGUGCACCCAUGGCAGAUUCAUGCUGGUGUAUGAUAAAAACCAUCACAAUAUUGUAAAGUAAUUAUCCUCCAAUUAAAAUAAAUUAACUAAUUAAAAAAUAGGAAUGUAAGAA